UUCAGCUUUGGUAGAACUAACAACUCGACUGGAUUUCUUCAAGGAAAGGCGUUCUCAGCUCAUGGAACAGCUCCACAACCUUGAUCUGAACUAUGGCGCAACGUCUUCACAAGAUUUUAUUUAUAGACCAUCAUCCCCUCCAUGGAACUGACCAAAGACGAUGAUGCUCACUAGAUUGACUUGCGGUCUUGUACAUUCUUCAGUGUUGCAUAUAAUUGUAUCUCAUGCACCCUUGCUUACCCCCGAUUUUU
RNAcentral lists this long non-coding RNA (251 nucleotides) under Populus trichocarpa (black cottonwood). RNAcentral describes it as "long non-coding RNA (PTRI_LNC002302)". Lineage: Eukaryota; Viridiplantae; Streptophyta; Magnoliopsida; Malpighiales; Salicaceae. The record is from RNAcentral.